UUUCCGUAGGUGAACCUGCGGAAGGAUCAUUAUCGUACAAAAUGUGAGGGGCAUGCGAGGGCUGUCCCUGUCCAAAAAGUCGUGCACGCCCGAGUCUGGUCCCUUGUCUAAUAGUCCACCUCACCCUUUGUGCAUAACCGCGUGGGCACCCUUCGGGAUCAUCUCGGAGGGGGGCUAGCGUUUUCACACACACCCCCCUUUUAAAAGUGUAGAAUGACCACAUUUAUGCAAUCAAUACAACUUUCAACAACGGAUCUCUUGGCUCUC
Molecule: unclassified non-coding RNA, 267 nt
Filed under: plant metagenome
Description: partial contains small subunit ribosomal RNA, internal transcribed spacer 1, and 5.8S ribosomal RNA
Source: RNAcentral